RNAcentral lists this microRNA precursor (109 nucleotides) under Pelobates cultripes (western spadefoot toad). Lineage: Eukaryota; Metazoa; Chordata; Amphibia; Anura; Pelobatidae. The record is from RNAcentral.
UAUUGCAAUAAGUGUGUGUAUGUAUGUGUGUGUGUGUGUGUGUGUGUAUAUAUUUAUAUAUAUACACACACACACACACACACACACACACACACACACACAGUAUCUU